RNAcentral lists this ribosomal RNA (404 nucleotides) under Actinomycetes bacterium. Its description in RNAcentral is "Actinobacteria bacterium partial 16S ribosomal RNA". It matches the Rfam family "Bacterial small subunit ribosomal RNA", at positions 355 to 776 of the family's 1533-position model. The record is from RNAcentral. Lineage: Bacteria; Bacillati; Actinomycetota; Actinomycetes.
UGGGGAAUAUUGGACAAUGGGCGCAAGCCUGAUCCAGCCAUGCCGCGUGAGUGAUGAAGGCCCUAGGGUUGUAAAGCUCUUUCACCGGUGAAGAUAAUGACGGUAACCGGAGAAGAAGCCCCGGCUAACUUCGUGCCAGCAGCCGCGGUAAUACGAAGGGGGCUAGCGUUGUUCGGAUUUACUGGGCGUAAAGCGCACGUAGGCGGACUUUUAAGUCAGGGGUGAAAUCCCGGGGCUCAACCCCGGAACUGCCUUUGAUACUGGAAGUCUUGAGUAUGGUAGAGGUGAGUGGAAUUCCGAGUGUAGAGGUGAAAUUCGUAGAUAUUCGGAGGAACACCAGUGGCGAAGGCGGCUCACUUGCCCAUUACUGACGCUGAGGUGCGAAAGCGUGGGGAGCAAACAGG